RNAcentral lists this long non-coding RNA (613 nucleotides) under Vigna radiata. RNAcentral describes it as "long non-coding RNA (VRAD_LNC002023)". Lineage: Eukaryota; Viridiplantae; Streptophyta; Magnoliopsida; Fabales; Fabaceae. The record is from RNAcentral.
UGAAGAAGAAGACCCAAGGAAGAAGAUGGGUGAGUUCCCACAGCCCAAAACUUGCUCCAAAAGGUCCAAAACGAUGCUCCCAAGCUUCAGCCGCCAAGAGUUGUGUGCCCUCGAAAACUGUGUGCUAUUUAUAGUUCUAGGGUGCCAACUCAGCAAAUAAGGUCGCGCCCAACGCCCCCCUCUAGGGCGCCCAAGCGUGACAAACCAAUGAAAACAGCGAGCUGAAGGCGCUUGGGCGCCCCCCAGGGGCGCUUGAGCGUGAAAAACAGGUGAAAACUGCGAGCUGAAGGCGCCUGGGCGCCCCCCAGGGGCGCCUGGGCGUGGGCAAUUGUCAAAACUGCGAGCUGGGGGCGCCUGAGCGUGACUGGUGCAGAGAACAACUUCAAAACUUCAACUUCUAGGCCUUCCUUGGUUCUCCACCUUCAAGAACUUCAAUGUCUUUCCAAANCAAGCAAUGUUCCUACAAAAUUUUAGGAAAAGANAUGAAAACUAACAUGUAACCUAAGCUAAGUUUUAUUCACAGAAUUGGAUAAAACNAAGAGGAUCAAACAGGUUUAAAGCUUCAGGAGUGUUGAUUUGGCAUGAAAAAUGCACCAUAGAUAAUGGUAAGAAU